RNAcentral lists this transfer RNA (69 nucleotides) under Ictidomys tridecemlineatus (thirteen-lined ground squirrel). Its description in RNAcentral is "Spermophilus tridecemlineatus (thirteen-lined ground squirrel) tRNA". It matches the Rfam family "tRNA". Rfam says of the family: Transfer RNA (tRNA) molecules are approximately 80 nucleotides in length. The record is from Rfam by way of RNAcentral. Lineage: Eukaryota; Metazoa; Chordata; Mammalia; Rodentia; Sciuridae.
GGGGCUAUAGCUUAGUGGCAGAGCACUUGCCUAGCAUGUGUGAGGCACUGGUUUCAAUCCUUAGCACCA